RNAcentral lists this long non-coding RNA (1082 nucleotides) under Equus caballus (horse). RNAcentral describes it as "lncRNA (ENSECAG00000057161.1)". The record is from RNAcentral. Lineage: Eukaryota; Metazoa; Chordata; Mammalia; Perissodactyla; Equidae.
CAGGAGGGUAUUUUGCAAUAACAUUUGGAAUAUACGUUUUUAUUUUUUUAGUUGGGAUUUCUGGUGUUUAUAUUUUGAAGGUCAGGCAAAAUAUGUUUCAUUUUGGCAGAGUGAGAGAUCUAAUCUUUACCAGCAGCAUGACUAGACUGACAACCUGAUGGUAAAGCAAAUAAAUGAUCAGUUCCCUGUUCCAGCCACGGAACCCACAGUGCUUCCUUUAAUAACAUAUCUAGAAAUGUACAGCUCUCUUUGAAGGUGAAACAAUUCUCCCUUGCCUACUCAACACCCACCUAAAACCAGUUCAUAUGCAGAGCUAUUUCUGCCUGUUUUUUGUGUUACUUCUCCAUCAGAUAGCUAAAGAGUUUUAAACCAAGAAAUAACCACAGGAACUAAGUGAUGCAACUGCUCUUGCCACAAUUAACUACAAGGAAUUUAUUCCUCACUUCCUACACAGCACAUGCUUUUUGUAUUGCUCCUUUAUUCACCUUGAGGAAAUUAUUUAACUGCUUCAUGUUCAUAGAUGGGAGAUGGGAGAAAAUACAACCAAGAAAAUACACAAAACUUCAAAUUUUAUCUAUUCAAUCCUAAUCAAUGACAAACCUAUAGAAUUUGCCCUCUUCCCAAAAGAGUUGAUAAAAGAUCUAGGAUUCUGGACAAGGGAAGGGAGGUUUACUACGGUUUGUGUGACACAUCUGCUGAUCUUCUACCGGGUUUACUGCCUGUGCUAUCCUUGCCAGUUCAUGACUGAGAAGUGUGAGCGAAGCAGCACUUCAUCUCAGUUCCUGAUGUGGGACUGUCAUUUCUUUGAACAAGAUCAUUAAGCUAUCACCUCAAAACAAAAUGGAUACCCCUAAGGGUUAACUUGAAUCAUUCUCUAUCUAUAGAAAUUUACGAUCUGAUUACACAGUUAUAGUCUGAGGGUGGUGGUGGAGAGGUACCUAGAAAAGGAUAGAGUGUCCCUCCAGGCAAGGACACCUUCAUUCUUCUCUGAGGAGAAAUGAACACACUGCCAAUCAGUCAGAACUAGGAUGAUGUAAAUGUACAAGCAACUCAAGCCAUGAGAAAUUCCAACUUUUGGGCAU